AGAGUUUGAUCCUGGCUCAGGACGAACGCUGGCGGCGUGCCUAACACAUGCAAGUCGAGCGAUGAAAUCCUUUCGGGGAUGGAUUAGCGGCGGACGGGUGAGUAACACGUGGGUAACCUGCCUCAAAGAGGGGGAUAGCCUCCCGAAAGGGAGAUUAAUACCGCAUAACAUUAGUUUUUCGCAUGAAGAACUAAUUAAAGGAGUAAUCCGCUUUGAGAUGGACCCGCGGCGCAUUAGCUAGUUGGUGAGGUAAAGGCUCACCAAGGCGACGAUGCGUAGCCGACCUGAGAGGGUGAUCGGCCACAUUGGAACUGAGACACGGUCCAGACUCCUACGGGAGGCAGCAGUGGGGAAUAUUGCACAAUGGGCGAAAGCCUGAUGCAGCAACGCCGCGUGAGUGAUGAAGGCCUUCGGGUUGUAAAGCUCUGUCUUUU
Molecule: ribosomal RNA, 434 nt
Filed under: uncultured bacterium
Lineage: Bacteria
Description: bacterial SSU rRNA
Rfam family: Bacterial small subunit ribosomal RNA
Source: RNAcentral